This 655-nucleotide ribosomal RNA is filed under the name uncultured bacterium. RNAcentral describes it as "bacterial SSU rRNA". It matches the Rfam family "Bacterial small subunit ribosomal RNA", at positions 367 to 1026 of the family's 1533-position model. The record is from RNAcentral.
GUCUAGGGCGCAAGCUGAACAUCCAUGCCGCGUGAAGGAAGAAGGUUCUAUGGAUUGUAAACUUCUUUUAUUUAGGAAUAAACCUCCGACGUGUCGGGAGCUGAAGGUACUAAAUGAAUAAGCACCGGCUAACUCCGUGCCAGCAGCCGCGGUAAUACGGAGGGUGCAAGCGUUAUCCGGAAUCAUUGGGUUUAAAGGGUCCGCAGGCGGAUUUAUAAGUCAGUGGUGAAAUCCUGCAGCUCAACUGCAGAACUGCCAUUGAUACUGUAAGUCUUGAAUUUGAUCGGAGUGGGCGGAAUGUGUAGUGUAGCGGUGAAAUGCAUAGAUAUUACACAGAACACCGAUAGCGAAGGCAGCUCACUAGGUUAUAAUUGACGCUCAUGGACGAAAGCGUGAGGAUCAAACAGGAUUAGAUACCCUGGUAGUCCACGCCGUAAACGAUGAUUACUCGUUCUUGAUAGCAAUAUCAGGGACCAAGCGAAAGUGAUAAGUAAUCCACCUGGGGAGUACGAUCGCAAGGUUGAAACUCAAAGGAAUUGACGGGGGCCCCGCACAAGCGGUGGAGCAUGUGGUUUAAUUCGAUGAUACGCGAGGAACCUUUUCCAGGGCUGUAAUGCCGAUUGCUUAUUUGGAAACGAUUAGUCUUCGGACGUUG